GACGAACGCUGGCGGCGUGCUUAACACAUGCCAGUCGAACGGAAAGGCCCUGCUUUUGUGGGGUGCUCGAGUGGCGAACGGGUGAGUAACACGUGAGUAACCUGCCCUUGACUUUGGGAUAACUUCAGGAAACUGGGGCUAAUACCGGAUAGGAGCUCCUGCUGCAUGGUGGGGGUUGGAAAGUUUCGGCGGUUGGGGAUGGACUCGCGGCUUAUGAGCUUGUUGGUGAGGUAGUGGCUUACCAAGGCUUUGACGGGUAGCCGGCCUGGGAGGGUGACCGGGCACAAUGGGACUGAGAUACGGCGCAGAAGCCUACGGGAGGCAGCAGUGGGGAAUAUGGCAGAAUGGGCGGAAGCCUGAUGCAGCAGCGCCGCGUGCGGGAUGACGGCCUUCGGGUUGUAAACCGCUUUCGCCUGUGCUGAAGCGUGAGUGACGGUAAUGGGUAAAGAAGCACCGGCUAACUACGUG
RNAcentral lists this ribosomal RNA (468 nucleotides) under uncultured bacterium. RNAcentral describes it as "partial 16S ribosomal RNA". It matches the Rfam family "Bacterial small subunit ribosomal RNA", at positions 28 to 507 of the family's 1533-position model. The record is from RNAcentral.